RNAcentral lists this long non-coding RNA (315 nucleotides) under Ananas comosus (pineapple). RNAcentral's name for it is "long non-coding RNA (ACOM_LNC040226)". The record is from RNAcentral. Lineage: Eukaryota; Viridiplantae; Streptophyta; Magnoliopsida; Poales; Bromeliaceae.
AAGAAAGGGAUUCUGGGUUAUGAGUUUUUGGGGUUAACAAGGUUAACCGGUAAGAUUGGGUAGGAGCCAAAGCUUAUUUACGAAUUGAGCAUGCAUGCACAUUUCCUUAUCGCAUUGAGUAUUUGUAUCCACUGACAUUCUUCUGCAGGCAUAGUAUUAGAUGCAUUAGUACUGGUUACUUUUCUUUCCUUGAAAUACUUAUGCCUGGAUAGACCUAGUGGGUAAGUCGGCGAGGUCGGAUGCCGAACCCACUGGGAACUUCGUUGUAGUUCUCACACCACUAACCCUACAGGUCCUAGCACGAGCGGGGCGGCG